This 655-nucleotide long non-coding RNA is filed under the name Coturnix japonica (Japanese quail). RNAcentral's name for it is "lncRNA (ENSCJPG00005019717.1)". The record is from RNAcentral. Lineage: Eukaryota; Metazoa; Chordata; Aves; Galliformes; Phasianidae.
CCGGCUCUUUGCCAGGCAGGGCACCUGUCCCCAGCCCCUCAGGGACCUCUCCCCACCGCCGGGCUCUGUGCUCUCCGCCCUCCUCACCGCCCACUCCUUCUUUUUCCUCCUCCUCCCGCUGCUCCUCCGGGAGCCUCUCCUCCGCUGCACACCUGCCUUGCCAUUUGUCAGCGGCUUUGCUAGGAGGGGAGAAUUUUCCCUCGCUCCCUUACAGCAUCCCUCUCCGGCACACACACACACACACGGAGGCACAGCGCUGUGUGUGUAUAUCUGUGUGCCUGUUUGCAGCGGCGGCCGCCGCCUCUCGGCACCCCGCUCCGCCGUCCCCGCGUUCCCCACCGCCGCGGGGCGUCCUCCGCCCGCCGCAGCGCAGCCGGCCCGGGGAGGAGGAGGAGGAGGAGGAGAAGGAGGAAGAGAAGGAGGAGGCGGCGGCGGCGGCAGCGGCUCCGCUGCUCCGCGGCCGCGCACCGGCAGCGGUAGGUACGACGCGGGGAUGGGAAGAGGAGGGCGGUGGGAGUCAGGGGAGAGCCGCGCUGCCCUGCCCCGAUGGAGGCGCCCGAUUUGGGGCUCUGAAUUUGGAACAGUUUUUGGUUAUAUGCUUCCUGAAACUUGGAGAAUACCUGCAAUAAAUAGGAUUGGCCAUGAGAAUUUGUAA